UGGGGAAUAUUGCACAAUGGGCGCAAGCCUGAUGCAGCCAUGCCGCGUGUGUGAAGAAGGCCUUCGGGUUGUAAAGCACUUUCAGCGGGGAGGAAGGCGUUAAGGUUAAUAACCUUGGCGAUUGACGUUACCCGCAGAAGAAGCACCGGCUAACUCCGUGCCAGCAGCCGCGGUAAUACGGAGGGUGCAAGCGUUAAUCGGAAUUACUGGGCGUAAAGCGCACGCAGGCGGUCUGGCAAGUCGGAUGUGAAAUCCCCGGGCUCAACCUGGGAACUGCAUUCGAAACUGGCAAGCUAGAGUCUUGUAGAGGGGGGUAGAAUUCCAGGUGUAGCGGUGAAAUGCGUAGAGAUCUGGAGGAAUACCGGUGGCGAAGGCGACCCCCUGGACAAAGACUGACGCUCAGGUGCGAAAGCGAGGGGAGCAAACAGG
This 429-nucleotide ribosomal RNA is filed under the name Chloroflexota bacterium. RNAcentral's name for it is "Chloroflexi bacterium partial 16S ribosomal RNA". It matches the Rfam family "Bacterial small subunit ribosomal RNA", at positions 355 to 776 of the family's 1533-position model. Lineage: Bacteria; Bacillati; Chloroflexota. The record is from RNAcentral.